RNAcentral lists this non-coding RNA (109 nucleotides) under Lentilactobacillus farraginis. Its description in RNAcentral is "Lactobacillus farraginis TPP sequence". It matches the Rfam family "TPP riboswitch aptamer (THI element)". From Rfam's summary of the family: Vitamin B(1) in its active form thiamin pyrophosphate (TPP) is an essential coenzyme that is synthesised by coupling of pyrimidine and thiazole moieties in bacteria. The previously detected thiamin-regulatory element, thi box was extended, resulting in a new, highly conserved RNA secondary structure, the THI element, which is widely distributed in eubacteria and also occurs in some archaea. Lineage: Bacteria; Bacillati; Bacillota; Bacilli; Lactobacillales; Lactobacillaceae. The record is from RNAcentral.
ACACAACACUAGGGGUGCCGCCAAGAAGCGGUUGAGAUGGAUCUGUUCGAUCUGGUCCCUUGGAACCUGUAAGACAAUGCUUGCGUAGGGAAAGUGAUGGAUGAUGUAU